AAUUUUCUAGUAUAAUAAGUAUAGUUGUUUUAAGCGCAGCUGGUUGUGAAAAUUA
This 55-nucleotide transfer RNA is filed under the name Physaloptera rara. Its description in RNAcentral is "tRNA-Leu". Lineage: Eukaryota; Metazoa; Nematoda; Chromadorea; Rhabditida; Physalopteridae. The record is from RNAcentral.